UACGGGGGGGGCAAGCGUUGUUCGGAAUUACUGGGCGUAAAGGGCUCGUAGGCGGCCAACUAAGUCAGACGUGAAAUCCCUCGGCUUAACCGGGGAAUGGCGUCUGAUACUGGAUGGCUUGAGUCCGGGAGAGGGAUGCGGAAUUCCAGGUGUAGCGGUGAAAUGCGUAGAUAUCUGGAGGAACACCGGUGGCGAAGGCGGCAUCCUGGACCGGCACUGACGCUGAGGAGCGAAAGCCAGGGGAGCAAACGGG
Molecule: ribosomal RNA, 253 nt
Filed under: uncultured bacterium
Lineage: Bacteria
Description: partial 16S ribosomal RNA
Rfam family: Bacterial small subunit ribosomal RNA
Source: RNAcentral